CCUACGGGCGGCAGCAGUGGGGAAUAUUGCACAAUGGGCGCAAGCCUGAUGCAGCCAUGCCGCGUGUGUGAAGAAGGCCUUCGGGUUGUAAAGCACUUUCAGCGGGGAGGAAGGCGGUGAGGUUAAUAACCUCAUCGAUUGACGUUACCCGCAGAAGAAGCACCGGCUAACUCCGUGCCAGCAGCCGCGGUAAUACGGAGGGUGCAAGCGUUAAUCGGAAUUACUGGGCGUAAAGCGCACGCAGGCGGUCUGUCAAGUCGGAUGUGAAAUCCCCGGGCUCAACCUGGGAACUGUAUUCGAAACUGGCAGGCUAGAGUCUUGUAGAGGGGAGUAGAAUUCCAGGUGUAGCGGUGAAAUGCGUAGAGAUCUGGAGGAAUACCGGUGGCGAAGGCGGCCCCCUGGACAAAGACUGACGCUCAGGUGCGAAAGCGUGGGGAGCAAACAGGAUUAGAUACCCGAGUAGUC
RNAcentral lists this ribosomal RNA (465 nucleotides) under uncultured Klebsiella sp. RNAcentral describes it as "bacterial SSU rRNA". It matches the Rfam family "Bacterial small subunit ribosomal RNA", at positions 338 to 795 of the family's 1533-position model. Lineage: Bacteria; Pseudomonadati; Pseudomonadota; Gammaproteobacteria; Enterobacterales; Enterobacteriaceae. The record is from RNAcentral.